RNAcentral lists this ribosomal RNA (518 nucleotides) under uncultured bacterium. Its description in RNAcentral is "bacterial SSU rRNA". It matches the Rfam family "Bacterial small subunit ribosomal RNA", at positions 501 to 1016 of the family's 1533-position model. The record is from RNAcentral.
CUACGUGCCAGCAGCCGCGGUAAUACGUAGGGUGCGAGCGUUAAUCGGAAUUACUGGGCGUAAAGCGGGCGCAGACGGUUACUUAAGCAGGAUGUGAAAUCCCCGGGCUCAACCUGGGAAUUGCGUUCUGAACUGGGUGGCUAGAGUGUGUCAGAGGGGGGUAGAAUUCCACGUGUAGCAGUGAAAUGCGUAGAGAUGUGGAGGAAUACCGAUGGCGAAGGCAGCCCCCUGGGAUAGCACUGACGUUCAUGCCCGAAAGCGUGGGUAGCAAACAGGAUUAGAUACCCUGGUAGUCCACGCCGUAAACGAUGAGUGCUAGGUGUUAGACCCUUUCCGGGGUUUAGUGCCGUAGCUAACGCAUUAAGCACUCCGCCUGGGGAGUACGACCGCAAGGUUGAAACUCAAAGGAAUUGACGGGGGCCCGCACAAGCGGUGGAGCAUGUGGUUUAAUUCGAAGCAACGCGAAGAACCUUACCAGGUCUUGACAUCCCUCUGACCGCUCUAGAGAUAGAGCUUUC